AUUGAACGCUCGCGGGAUGCUUUACACAUGCAAGUCGAACGGCAGCGCGGACUUCGGUCUGGCGGCGAGUGGCGAACGGGCGAGUAAUGUAUCGGAACGUGCCCAGUAGCGGGGGAUAACUACGCGAAAGCGUAGCUAAUACCGCAUACGCCCUACGGGGGAAAGCAGGGGAUCGUAAGACCUUGCACUAUUGGAGCGGCCGAUAUCGGAUUAGCUAGUUGGUGAGGUAACGGCUCACCAAGGCGACGAUCCGUAGCUGGUUUGAGAGGACGACCAGACACACUGGGACUGAGACACGGCCCAGACUCCUACGGGAGGCAGCAGUGGGGAAUUUUGGACAAUGGGGGCAACCCUGAUCCAGCCAUCCCGCGUGUGCGAUGAAGGCCUUCGGGUUGUAAAGCACUUUUGGCAGGAAAGAAACGUCGCGGGCUAAUACCCCGUGGAACUGACGGUACCUGCAGAAUAAGCACCGGCUAACUACGUG
RNAcentral lists this ribosomal RNA (484 nucleotides) under uncultured bacterium. RNAcentral describes it as "partial 16S ribosomal RNA". It matches the Rfam family "Bacterial small subunit ribosomal RNA", at positions 30 to 507 of the family's 1533-position model. The record is from RNAcentral.